RNAcentral lists this long non-coding RNA (1309 nucleotides) under Pan troglodytes (chimpanzee). RNAcentral's name for it is "long non-coding RNA NONPTRT012878". Lineage: Eukaryota; Metazoa; Chordata; Mammalia; Primates; Hominidae. The record is from RNAcentral.
GACCCCCACUAACGCCAACACCACAGUUACCAGGGAGAGCAGGAAGAGGGGACUCUCCAAGCUUCGGGGGCUCCCAGGCCAGGCUGCCCCCCCGGCCGCCCAUCAGCAUCUCCAGCCUGCUGCAGAGGCAGUGUUUAGUGUGAAGUUUUGAAGUCAUUUCAAAGACAAAGUUGAUGUGUUUUUACCACGACUUCCAUGCCUCCUGCGGGACCUGCUCACCUUGGGGCAGUGACACCUGAAAGAUGAGCACCCAGCCACCCGCUCUGCCCACUUCCAGUCCUCCAGCCUUCGUGCCCACCAGCAUGUGUACGUUAGACAGCCAGUGCGACUGUACUUUCCCUCUUGUUGAAAUAAUUAAGUAAGGUAGUCGCAUAAAGUAUUUUUCUGAUUAUCAGGGCUAGCAUAUAUGUGAUAUGUUUGCAACUUGGAACUUCCUUAAAAUGUUGAUGCUGGAGGCAAAACGAACACCUGCCUGUUGAUUUCCUGUUAGAAGGUUCCGGCUGCAGCUCGCGGCGGAGACAGGUCUGCUGUGGGGUGCGCACGCAGCGUGGGUCGGCGCCGCCACAUCCUGCGUUAGGUGAUUACUACGCAUUCUGGUCACACAGUACUCACAGCUGGCCUGUGAUGCCGGCUUCAGCGGAUGAAUCUCUGUCAGGUCCAGAGAUGAAUUCCGGGCCUGAGCUCACCCUGCAGAUGCGGCCUGCGUGGGUGGAGCCUCCUCAUCCGUCAGGAGGGUGGGGUCUCCUGCAGGAGACGCCCCUGUGCACGUGGCUCCCAGAGAGUCUCAGACCCACGUCUCUCCCGCCAGCCGGGAACACACAGGGUUGGAAGAGAGGCUUAUGGGGUUAGUUCUAAUCUUUUAGUUUGCAUUUACCUAAAAAGUGUCAAAGAACUUUGUUAUCUCACUCGAGUUAACCGAGUUAACAGCAGCCGGCCGCCACGUGAAGCAGGAGAAUCCUCACCUUCACUGCAGGCGGAGCUGAGGCACUGCCGGGCUGCACACAGAGACUUUAUUUCAGGCGAGGCGUCCCUGCCUUCACAGCAGCCUCCCAGGCGCCUCCCCUGGGCCCUCCAGAUGCCAGGAUGCCUGGGCUGCUGGACAGAGGGUGCCCAUGUUCUUCUGGAAGUCAUGGCAUUCAUGGCUGUCCCGGAUUGACUGUCCCCUCUGGGAGCUGAUUAUCCCCUCUGCCGGGAGCUGACUGUCCCCUCUGCCGGGAGCUGACUGUCCCUUCCAGGAGCUGACUGUUCCCUCCGGGAGCUGACUGUCCCUUCCAGGAGCUGACUUUCCCCUCCGGGAGCUGACUGUCCC